This 200-nucleotide unclassified non-coding RNA is filed under the name Hevea brasiliensis (rubber tree). The record is from RNAcentral. Lineage: Eukaryota; Viridiplantae; Streptophyta; Magnoliopsida; Malpighiales; Euphorbiaceae.
CGUCGAUGAUAGCAUCGUCACGUCGCGGUUUGGUACCUCACGCCUCGCGGUAUUCCCCAUCGGCAUCGAUGUUGACGGAUUCGCAGCGCAAGCCCAGCGCGCGGGCGCGCGGCGUCGCAUCCGGAUGUCUCGCGGCUGCGCAAGAGCCUGCACGGUGAGCGCCUCGCGAUCGGUGUUGAUCGCGUCGACUACUCCAAGGG